RNAcentral lists this ribosomal RNA (201 nucleotides) under uncultured Glomeromycotina. RNAcentral's name for it is "partial small subunit ribosomal RNA". It matches the Rfam family "Eukaryotic small subunit ribosomal RNA", at positions 569 to 781 of the family's 1831-position model. Lineage: Eukaryota; Fungi; Glomeromycota. The record is from RNAcentral.
AGCAGCCACAGUAAUUCUAGCUCCAAUAGCGUACAUUUAAGUUGUUGCAGUUGAAAAGCCGUAGUUGAAUUUCGGGUCAGGCCUGGGGGUCGACAUAACUGUCUCUCUCUUGUCGAGCCUACCUUCUGGCUAACCAAGUUCCCUUUACUGGGUGCUUGAGGAACCAGGACCUUUACUUGAGAAAAUUAGAGUGUUUAAGGC